GUCUAUGGCCAUGCCACCCUGCACACACCCGAUCUUGUCUGAUCUCAGAAGCUAAGCAGGGUCAGGCCUGGUUAGAACUUGGAUGGGAGUCCAUGUAGAUACAUACG
This 107-nucleotide ribosomal RNA is filed under the name Otolemur garnettii (small-eared galago). The record is from RNAcentral. Lineage: Eukaryota; Metazoa; Chordata; Mammalia; Primates; Galagidae.